RNAcentral lists this ribosomal RNA (735 nucleotides) under uncultured organism. Its description in RNAcentral is "bacterial SSU rRNA". It matches the Rfam family "Bacterial small subunit ribosomal RNA", at positions 89 to 857 of the family's 1533-position model. The record is from RNAcentral.
UGGAGACCGGCGAAAGGGCGAGGAAUACCUUGGAACGUACCCGGAGGUGGGGGAUAGCGUCGGGAAAGUGGCGGUAAUACCCCAUGUGCUCUAUGGAGGAAAGCUUCGGCGCCUUCGGAGCGGCCAAGGUCCUAUCAGGUUGUUGGUGAGGUAAAGGCUCACCAAGCCUAUGACGGGUAGCGGGUGUGAGAGCAUGACCCGCCGCAUCGGAACUGAGACACUGUCCGGACUCCUACGGGAGGCUGCAGUAACGAAUCUUCCGCAAUGCACGCAAGUGUGACGGAGCAAUGCCGCGUGCGGGACGAAGCGGCUCCGCCGUGUAAACCGCUGUCAGGCUCUAGAAAGAACUGAUCGGAGCCAGAGGAAGGGCCGGCUAAUCUCGUGCCAGCAGCCGCGGUAAGACGAGAGGCCCGAGCGUUGAGCGGAAUCACUGGGCUUAAAGGGUGCGUAGGCGGAGUGGCAGGUGUCUUGUGAAAGCCCACGGCUCAACCGUGGAAUUGCAGGGCAAACCACCAUUCUUGAGGUCGGUAGAGGAUGUCGGAACGUUGGGUGGAGCGGUGAAAUGCGUAGAGAUCCAACGGAACGCCAAUGGUGAAGACAGGCAUCUGGGCCGAACCUGACGCUGAGGCACGAAAGCGUGGGGAGCAAACAGGAUUAGAUACCCUGGUAGUCCACGCCGUAAACGAUGUGCACUGGGUCGAUGCCGCUCUGACGCGGUGUCGGCCGUAGAGAAAU